Molecule: long non-coding RNA, 214 nt
Filed under: Malus domestica (apple)
Lineage: Eukaryota; Viridiplantae; Streptophyta; Magnoliopsida; Rosales; Rosaceae
Description: long non-coding RNA (MDOM_LNC019672)
Source: RNAcentral
UGUGUAAGCUCGGGUGCUCGCAGUUAUGUGCCGAUUACAACAUUGUUCUCUGUGGGAUAUCUUUCCUACUGAUUUCCUUUCUUUGAUGGUUGUGGAUUUACAUUUUGUGGUUUGGUGGUGGGUGGAACCGUUUUCUUUUCCGUUUCGGAGGCUCUAUUUGGUUGACGUUCUGGUGGCUGCAAGAGGUGUUCGUUCAAGGUCAGAGGAUUUGACG